AGAGUUUGAUCCUGGCUCAGAUUGAACGCUGGCGGCAGGCCUAACACAUGCAAGUCGAGCGGAUGAGUGGAGCUUGCUCCAUGAUUCAGCGGCGGACGGGUGAGUAAUGCCUAGGAAUCUGCCUGGUAGUGGGGGACAACGUUUCGAAAGGAACGCUAAUACCGCAUACGUCCUACGGGAGAAAGCAGGGGACCUUCGGGCCUUGCGCUAUCAGAUGAGCCUAGGUCGGAUUAGCUAGUUGGUGAGGUAAAGGCUCACCAAGGCGACGAUCCGUAACUGGUCUGAGAGGAUGAUCAGUCACACUGGAACUGAGACACGGUCCAGACUCCUACGGGAGGCAGCAGUGGGGAAUAUUGGACAAUGGGCGAAAGCCUGAUCCAGCCAUGCCGCGUGUGUGAAGAAGGUCUUCGGAUUGUAAAGCACUUUAAGUUGGGAGGAAGGGCAGUAAGUUAAUACCUUGCUGUUUUGACGUUACCGGCAGAAUAAGCACCGGCUAACUUCGUGCCAGCAGCCGCGGUAAUACGAAAGGUGCAAGCGUUAAUCGGAAUUACUGGGCGUAAAGCGCGCGUAGGUGGUUCGUUAAGUUGGAUGUGAAAGCCCCGGGCUC
Molecule: ribosomal RNA, 607 nt
Filed under: bacterium enrichment culture clone 113
Lineage: Bacteria
Description: bacterial SSU rRNA
Rfam family: Bacterial small subunit ribosomal RNA
Source: RNAcentral